This 460-nucleotide ribosomal RNA is filed under the name uncultured bacterium. RNAcentral's name for it is "partial 16S ribosomal RNA". It matches the Rfam family "Bacterial small subunit ribosomal RNA", at positions 338 to 795 of the family's 1533-position model. The record is from RNAcentral.
CCUACGGGUGGCAGCAGUGAGGAAUAUUGGUCAAUGGACGAGAGUCUGAACCAGCCAAGUAGCGUGAAGGAUGACUGCCCGAUGGUGGGUAAAAUUCUUUUAUAAAGGAAUAAAACGAGGCACGGGUGCCUUUUUGCUUGUAAUUUAUGAAUAAGGAUCGGCUAACUCCGUGCCAGCAGCCGGGGUAAUAAGGAGGAGCCGAGCGUUAUCCGGCUUUAUUGGGUUUAAAGGGAGCGUAGAUGGGUGGUUAAGUCAGUUGUGAAAGUUUGCGGCUCAACCGUAAAAUUGCAAUUGAAACUGGCAGUCGUGAGUACAGUUGAGGUAGGCGGAAUUCGUGGUGUAGCGGUGAAAUGCUUAGAUAUCACGAAGAACCCCGAUUGCGAAGGCAGCUUACUAAACUGUGACUGACAUUGAUGCUCGAAAGUGUGGGUAUCAAACAGGAUUAGAUACCCCGGUAGUC